This is a long non-coding RNA of Alligator mississippiensis (American alligator), 3333 nucleotides long. RefSeq lists it as uncharacterized. The transcript has 3 exons. The record is from RefSeq and is a predicted model, not a curated record. Lineage: Eukaryota; Metazoa; Chordata; Crocodylia; Alligatoridae.
UUCAUCUUUCUGGGCAACAGAGCCGAUUUCGUUUUAUUUCACCAAAAGAGCAUGUGUUUUGUUUUGUUUUUAAAACCAGCACAAAUUAGACUCUUAAUUGAUGCAAUGAUAUAUUUUAAAAACAAAAACCAAAGAUUUGAUGUCUGACAUAUUGGCAAAGCAGCACUUAAUGAAGGUCCAGAGAAAUAACUGUUUCCUGGAUGAAAACUCGGAGAACCAGCUGAUUCCUUCGUUACCACCAAUCUAUUUCAAGUAGCAAGAACUCAUGACUCUCAAAAGUGGAAAUGCAAGGGACAUUUGUCACGGAGAAGCCGUGAUGCAACGUACACAAACAACCGAUUCGAAACCAGAAAGUGGGACAGGCAAUAUUUACUUAGAGAGCACAAAGCAAAUUUUCACUGUGAUUUCUGGAUUGCAGAUAUCUGCCUCCUUAGUUCCCAAGCAGUAGGCUUGCAGGACACUUAUUCACGUGCUCUCGCUGGAGUCCAGGCAUUCCACUCAGAUAAGAUCACACCUUCAGGAAAGGAGGGUGGAGGGAAGAUGAAAUUAACCUUUGCCCUGAUCGUUUGUCACUGGAUAAGAUGUCUUGAGAUAACCACAUCAGUGAAUCCCGGUGGGAGGACUGGGUAAAAACAAGAUCAAACUGAAAACCGGAGAUAGAAUUUGAAAUGAAGUUUCCCAGGUCGAGUGCAGAACUGUGGAGUUUACAAGGUGACACAAUAGUGGCAAACAGCACUCACCUCCUGAAAGAGCGUAGACAUUUCACAGACCAGACAUGAGCUGGGACUUUGCAUUUCACAUUUGUGCCUGUCGGAGAGGAAGAAAUCUCGCAGCAGUGGAGUGUGGGCAGAAUGAAGGAAAAAGAUGUUUCCAGAGUUAUGGCUGCAUAGAGGAGGGACGCAGCCUAACCUUCCACUCUCACCUUGCUUUCCUGAUUAACUAAAGCUGAAACCCUAGCUGCUGGCGAUGACUGGUCUCCAUGGGUAGAUCCAUGAUUUUGUAAAUAGCUAAAGUCUCCAAGGCUGUGAAAGAGGGAGAGAGAGACCAGGAGCAGCGAGUAGAAAGCAGAACUGCCCUGAGAAAGGUUAGCUUAAUUAGUAGAACAUCAAGACCAUUAAAAAGGAGAGACGAUGGGUAACAACUCUGGAGUGAAGAGCAGCAAGCUAACACCGAGUCAACUGACGUCCUCAGCUGCUUGAAUAGUAACACAACAACUACUACACUGUGGGGAAGAAAUCAAAGCAAGAUGCUUCUAUAUCCUGGUCUGAAAGUCAGCUUCCUCACUUAAUACAUGCGCUCCAAUUUGCGGGGGCUGAUUUUUGGAAAAAGGUGCAUAUUUUGUGUGAGAAAAUACUGUACGCUGUAGGUUCCCCACCACCGCCCCAAAAAAACUCAUUACUUAUAUUACCAGUUAAAGAAGCUAAUGAGCAGGUGGUGUGGUGGUAGAUGCACCCUAGAUAGUGGUCAACCCACCAAGGUGUAAAUAAAGCUAAUUUGUCACUUCAUACACAGGAUUUCCUUCAUGCUUUUAUGAUUCGAUCAUACGUCAUUUUAUUUCAUGAUACCAGUUCCCUCUUUCUGAAAUGUACUGUGGGUUGCAAGACAGCGGCCAUUCCUUCUACCUUAUGGUUCAGGAGACAAAAUGAUUGUGGUGGAUUGUACCCAAACCGUUAGUCCAGAUUAUGCUUAACCUAGAAUCAUUUGUACAGAACUGGAGCGUCUAAACACAGCAACCUUAAUUAAAUAAAAAUGUGCAAGGCUGUGGCUCCUAAAACAGCUAUAAUAAACGACCAGGAAACAUUAAUGUACAACACACAGGACCAAAUUCAACAUGGCACAAGAGGAUUCAAAGUCAAGCAGAUUCCAGAGACGCGGUCUUGUAUUUAGAAGCCAAGAUGCUCAAGGAAAAUAGUCUCUUUAUUUUUUUUGCAUACCAUGAAAAUGGCUAGAAGUGAGGGAAGCUUUUCAGUCAUUUGAAAAAUCCAGCUAAGAAAAAUAUGCUCAAAUCUUUGGCUACGCCUCCAAAGUCCGACCACUGCACACAAGUAGCUGUGAGCUAGAAGAACAACACGUGGAACUGAAAGGUUAAUUUUAAAUGCACAACAAUCAUAAAAAAAAAAGCCUACCACAAAACUAAGCGACAGCAUGAUGGCAGAGGCUCUUUAACACUGGGAUGUUUGUCCUGCACAAUAAUUACAGUGUAACUUGUGCAAUACCAAGGGGAGCCCGGUCAGCAAUGCAAACCGGAGGGAGCAAUCAGCCAGUUUGAGAAUUCCCCUGCAUUUCCAUGAGAAGAAACCAGAUGGCAAUGCUGAGGCUCUUAAAAAAAAUGCUGCAGUUCCCUUGCAGCACGGCAGACAGUGCUCCAAGGGCCCCUUCGCCUCCAUCUGCACGAGGGGUGUGUUCUUGUUGCCAGGUGACAGGAGACCAAGAAUGUUGCCUGGCAUAUUGAGUUGUAGGCAAUUCCUAAAUCAUUCCUCCAGCGUGCCGUGUGACACGGUCCUCCCCGCCACGGCUUCCUGUCGCUUCUGUUUACUCUGGAACGCAGCUCAAACUUUCCAAUUUACAUUAUAGUGAUUUCUACUGGGCAGGAAGCUCACUGUAAUCAUCUGCUUUAUUUGCCUGCCGAGAGGUCGAGCCACUCAAUGCGCCGCAUUAAAACUUGUUAAAUAGUUAAUCUGUCACAGUAGCCUGAAGUGCAGCAUGAUGCUUCCAUCGGUACGCAGCCCCCUCCAACCCCAGCUUGGAGAUCUCUGAGCAUCAUGUCACAACACAGGGCUGUUCAUGCUGCGGCGAGUGCAGAAGUGUCUGACCAGCAGGGCUUGCCUGACUUAUCACUUAUUUAGAAUUCACUCUAGUUGCCAUGCUGCUACUGAGGCCUUUGCAAAUUCCUGGCCAUGCCUGUGAUCAAGGAAGAUAUUCAGCACAUAUUCAAGCAGCAGGGCUUGUCAAAGGAAGAGAAAGUCCCUUUCCAUUUUUUACUGCAAACUUUUACUGAGCUCUGUCACCUAUGGUCCGUGACAGAGUUGAAAAAUCAGGCUAUGCAGUACUGAAGGUUAGUUAGUGGAAAAGCAGUACUGCACCUAGUAUAGACAACGCGUAACUGCCGAUAGUUAGGGGACAACUCUGCCGCCCCCACUGCUGCCGGGCGCUGGGUCUAGCAGGGCUGCACCCCACCAUUGGCACAGAAAUCUGGGAGGAGAGAAGGGGAGCGCACAUCCUCCCCUGUGCUGCCCCCCCACCUCGCUUAUAGCACCUAGCCAGUCCUAUCCUAUUACUUCUAUUCUCGGUGUCCAAUUAAAACGAUCCCAAAUAAAUGCAAACGUGCACAGA